GCAAACUUGGUCAUUUAGAGGAAGUAAAAGUCGUAACAAGGUUUCCGUAGGUGAACCUGCGGAAGGAUCAUUAUAGAGUGUAACCCCCCCGUAAAAAAGGGGGGUACCCUCCCGUCCUUUGCAGGCCUUUAGGGGCUUUUUAGACUUUCUGCUUCGGUGGGGUAAACCCACCGGAACACCCUCAAAAUUCUUAUGAAAUUGUUCAGUCCGAGAAAAUUUAAAAAAAGUGAAAAACUUUCAACAACGGAUCUCUUGGUUCUGGCAUCGAUGAAGAACGCAGC
RNAcentral lists this unclassified non-coding RNA (281 nucleotides) under uncultured fungus. RNAcentral's name for it is "partial contains small subunit ribosomal RNA, internal transcribed spacer 1, and 5.8S ribosomal RNA". The stretch from base 1 to 73 matches the Rfam family "Eukaryotic small subunit ribosomal RNA", at positions 1759 to 1831 of the family's 1831-position model. The record is from RNAcentral. Lineage: Eukaryota; Fungi.